This 503-nucleotide ribosomal RNA is filed under the name uncultured bacterium. RNAcentral describes it as "bacterial SSU rRNA". It matches the Rfam family "Bacterial small subunit ribosomal RNA", at positions 791 to 1296 of the family's 1533-position model. The record is from RNAcentral.
UAGUCCACGCUGUAAACGAUGAUCACUCGCUGCUGGCGAUAUACAGUUAGUGGCCAAGCGAAAGCAUUAAGUGAUCCACCUGGGGAGUACGCUCGCAAGAGUGAAACUCAAAGGGAAUUGACGGGGGCCCGCACAAGCGGUGGAGCAUGUGGUUUAAUUCGAUGAUACGCGAGGAACCUUACCUGGGCUUAAAUGUAAUUUGACAGAUUGGGAGACCAAUUUUUUCUUCGGACAAAUUACAAGGUGCUGCAUGGUUGUCGUCAGCUCGUGCCGUGAGGUGUCGGGUUAAGUCCCAUAACGAGCGCAACCCUUAUUUCCAGUUGCCAUCGAGUAAAGUCGGGGACUCUGGAGAAACUGCCCGCGCAAGCGGAGAGGAAGGUGGGGAUGACGUCAAAUCGAUCACGGCCCUUACGUCCAGGGCUACACACGUGCUACAAUGGUGUUGACAAAGGGCAGGCCACUUGGUGACAAGGAGCUAAUCCCGAAACAACAUCUCAGUUCGG